AUGCUCUACCUCUCCUUAAAGUCAAGGUAUAGUGAAGAGAUAAAUAAGAAGGUUGAAAUGUUUCUCAAGGCAUAUGGCUCAUCAAAACCCACAAGGUACACUUUGUGUGAAGUUAAGAAGAUAGCAAGACGGUUCAACGAUAAACUCGGCCAAGGUAGAUUUGGAAGUGUAUACAAAAGUGAGCUACCAAAUGGAGUGCCUGUGGCAGUCAAGAUGCUAGAGGGCUCCAUAGGAUAUGGGGAGGAAUUCAUCAAUGAGGUUGCAACCACUGGACUAAUAUCGUCCAUCUCUUGGGCUUUUGCUCCGAAGGAAUGA
This 315-nucleotide ribosomal RNA is filed under the name Triticum aestivum (bread wheat). RNAcentral's name for it is "partial small subunit ribosomal RNA". Lineage: Eukaryota; Viridiplantae; Streptophyta; Magnoliopsida; Poales; Poaceae. The record is from RNAcentral.